This 71-nucleotide transfer RNA is filed under the name Corynebacterium pseudodiphtheriticum. Its description in RNAcentral is "tRNA-Trp". It matches the Rfam family "tRNA". Rfam says of the family: Transfer RNA (tRNA) molecules are approximately 80 nucleotides in length. Lineage: Bacteria; Bacillati; Actinomycetota; Actinomycetes; Mycobacteriales; Corynebacteriaceae. The record is from RNAcentral. RNAcentral also lists the same sequence under 2 other names.
AGGGCCUUGGUCUAACGGUAGGGCAGCGGUCUCCAAAACCGCAGGUUCCGGUUCGAUUCCGGGAGGUUCUG